GACGAACGCUGGCGGCGUGCUUAACACAUGCAAGUCGAACGGAAAGGCCCUGCUUUUGUGGGGUGCUCGAGUGGCGAACGGGUGAGUAACACGUGAGUAACCUGCCCUUGACUUUGGGAUAACUUCAGGAAACUGGGGCUAAUACCGGAUAGGAGCUCCUGCUGCAUGGUGGGGGUUGGAAAGUUUCGGCGGUUGGGGAUGGACUCGCGGCUUAUCAGCUUGUUGGUGGGGUAGUGGCGUACCAAGGCUUUGACGGGUAGCCGGCCUGAGAGGGUGGCCGGCCACAAUGGGACUGAGGUACGGCCCAGACUCCUACGGGAGGCAGCAGGGGGGAAUAUUGCGCAGUGGGCGGGAGCCAGAUGCAACAACGCCGCGUGCGGGAUGCCGGCCUUCGGGUUGUAAACCACUUUCGCCUGAGACGUAGCCGGAGUGACGGUAAUUGGUAAAGAAGCACCGGCUAACUACGUG
This 468-nucleotide ribosomal RNA is filed under the name uncultured bacterium. RNAcentral describes it as "partial 16S ribosomal RNA". It matches the Rfam family "Bacterial small subunit ribosomal RNA", at positions 28 to 507 of the family's 1533-position model. The record is from RNAcentral.